UGUUGGAGUGAAUUGUCUGGUUAAUUCCGUGAACGAACGAGACCUUAACCUGCUAGAUAGUCACAUGUAACCUCGGUUACGUGGGCAACUUCUUAGAGGGGCUUUGCGUGUCUAACACAAGGAAGUGUGAGGCAAUAUCA
Molecule: ribosomal RNA, 140 nt
Filed under: uncultured eukaryote
Lineage: Eukaryota
Description: partial 18S ribosomal RNA
Rfam family: Eukaryotic small subunit ribosomal RNA
Source: RNAcentral